This 468-nucleotide ribosomal RNA is filed under the name uncultured bacterium. RNAcentral's name for it is "partial 16S ribosomal RNA". It matches the Rfam family "Bacterial small subunit ribosomal RNA", at positions 28 to 507 of the family's 1533-position model. The record is from RNAcentral.
GACGAACGCUGGCGGCGUGCUUAACACAUGCAAGUCGAACGGAAAGGCCCCGCUUUUGUGGGGGGGUUGGGUGGCGAAAGGGUGAGUAACACGAGAGUAAACUGCCCUUGACUUUGGGAUAACUUCAGGAAAAUGGGGGUAAUACCGGAUAGGAGGUCCUGCUGCAUGGGGGGGGGUGGGAAGGUUGGGGGGGUGGGGAUGGGGACGCGGGUUUUCAGCUUGUUGGUGGGGUAGUGGCUUACCAAGGCUUUGACGGGUAGCCGGCCUGAGAGGGUGACCGGCCACAUUGGGACUGAGAUACGGCCCAGACUCCUACGGGAGGCAGCAGUGGGGAAUAUUGCACAAUGGGCGGAAGCCUGAUGCAGCAACGCCGCGUGCGGGAUGACGGCCUUCGGGUUGUAAACCGCUUUCGCCUGUGACGAAGCGUGAGUGACGGUAAUGGGUAAAGAAGCACCGGCUAACUACGUG